CCUACGGGAGGCAGCAGUGGGGAAUUUUGGACAAUGGGCGCAAGCCUGAUCCAGCAAUGCCGCGUGAGUGAAGAAGGCCUUCGGGUUGUAAAGCUCUUUUGUCAGGGAAGAAACGGUGGAGGCUAAUAUCUUUUGCUAAUGACGGUACCUGAAGAAUAAGCACCGGCUAACUACGUGCCAGCAGCCGCGGUAAUACGUAGGGUGCAAGCGUUAAUCGGAAUUACUGGGCGUAAAGCGUGCGCAGGCGGUUUUGUAAGUUUGUCGUGAAAUCCCCGGGCUCAACCUGGGAAUGGCGAUGAAGACUGCAAGGCUAGAAUCUGGCAGGAGGGGGGUAGAAUUCCACGUGUAGCAGUGAAAUGCGUAGAGAUGUGGAGGAACACCGAUGGCGAAGGCACGCCCCCGUGGGUCAAGAUUGACGCUCAUGCACGAAAGCGGUGGGGAGACAAACAGGAUUAGAUACCCGUGGUAGUCCACGACCCUAAACGAUGUCUACUAGUUGUUCGGGUUUUAAUUAACUUAGGUAACGCAGCUAACGCGUGAAGUAGACCGCCGUGGGGAGUCGGUCGCAAGUAUUAAACUUACGAAAGGAAUUGACGGNGNGAGAGNGCGACGACGACGACGAGGAGGAGG
This 630-nucleotide ribosomal RNA is filed under the name uncultured bacterium. RNAcentral's name for it is "bacterial SSU rRNA". It matches the Rfam family "Bacterial small subunit ribosomal RNA", at positions 338 to 956 of the family's 1533-position model. The record is from RNAcentral.